CCUACGGGAGGCAGCAGUGAGGAAUAUUGGUCAAUGGACGAGAGUCUGAACCAGCCAAGUAGCGUGAAGGAUGACUGCCCUAUGGGUUGUAAACUUCUUUUAUAUGGGAAUAAAAUGUUUCACGUGUGGGAUUUUGUAUGUACCAUAUGAAUAAGGAUCGGCUAACUCCGUGCCAGCAGCCGCGGUAAUACGGAGGAUCCGAGCGUUAUCCGGAUUUAUUGGGUUUAAAGGGAGCGUAGGUGGAUUGUUAAGGCAGUUGUGAAAGUUUGCGGCUCAACCGUAAAAUUGCAGUUGAAACUGGCAGGCUUGAGUGCAGGAGAGGUGGGCGGAAUUCGUGGUGUAGCGGUGAAAUGCUUAGAUAUUAGGAGGAACACCAGUGGCGAAGGCGACUUACUGGACUGUAACUGACGUUGAGGCUCGAAAGCGUGGGGAGCAAACAGGAUUAGAUACCCGUGUAGUC
This 460-nucleotide ribosomal RNA is filed under the name uncultured bacterium. RNAcentral's name for it is "partial 16S ribosomal RNA". It matches the Rfam family "Bacterial small subunit ribosomal RNA", at positions 338 to 795 of the family's 1533-position model. The record is from RNAcentral.